GAUUUUCCCUCUCUCGGAAACACAGGUGAUUCAAAGUCCCAUGGGAGAUGGAGGACCAUACUCAUAUCUUAUCACUAUUGAAUCAGGGUAGGGGCGGCGAAACUUCUUAUCGAGAAGGAAAACUUUAAACAGAGAAAGAAUCUUAACAAUAAUGAGGCCUUGGGGCACAAUAUAUUCCAGAGAGAUAAUAGAUUGCAAGUUGCCAAGAAAUUCUGCUAGUAGGCAUUGGGGCACUACUGAUAUUCUCAUCGUCACGAUGCUUCACAGCGACCUUCUUUGCCUAGGUCUUGAGUGAUCAUUGCUGAGAAUUUACCCGGAGUAGCUUACAAGGAAUCUGUAUGAAAAGGAAGUGGUUGCUCUCCUUUUGCAACUUGGAAAAGAACCCGAACCUGAAGUAAUCACUCUAUAAUGGAAGUUUCUGUAGCUCAAAAUGUUUUCGAAGGAUUUUCGAGGAUAGUGGUGAGAUAUUAUUAUCAACAAAAGAAUGAUCCCUUUACAAAAUUGGAUUCGGACAAACUUUACGCAAAAGAAGGAAAUGGCAUAUUAUCACCAGGAAUCCAUAAGAGCUAGUCCCAUUUGAGGGAAAAAAGUAUCCACAGACACAAGCCUGGUCCAAAAUCAGCCAUAGUAGCAGCCUAUAACAGUAGAGUUCUUUUUAUUUUCUUGUUUCUCGGAAUCUUUGAAUAAAGAACUUAGGAAAUGGAGAAUCUCCAUGCUCAGGGGUUUUUAUUGGUUGAUGAGAGAAUAUAUAAGGAAAAAGAUCUUAAUCAUUUUCUUUUAAGAAUUGAUCUUAAUCUUCUUCUCAUCUGACAUUGUUACCAUAGAACUGUUGUUUUUGUUCUUUUUUUUAAGAGUGAUUUUAUCAGUAAACUGCCACUGCUUUUGUUGAUUUUUGUCUAACAUUUGUAGCAAUCCAAUACAUAAAACUGUUUUCUG
RNAcentral lists this unclassified non-coding RNA (936 nucleotides) under Arabidopsis thaliana (thale cress). The record is from RNAcentral. Lineage: Eukaryota; Viridiplantae; Streptophyta; Magnoliopsida; Brassicales; Brassicaceae.